AAAGAGACUACAAGCGUUACUCGGAAUCACUGGGCGUAAAGCGUGCGUAGGCGGUCGAGCGAGUCAAGCGUAAAAGGCGGGGGCUUAACCCCAGUUACAUGCGUUAGACCCCGCGACUAGAGCGAGAUAUAGAGGAAAGCGUAAUGCCUUAUGUGUCAGUGAAAUGCGUAGAUAUCAGGAGGAACACCAAAGGCGAAGGCGACUUACUGGGUAUUAGCUGACGCUGAGCCUCGAAAGCGUGGUGAGCAAAAAG
Molecule: ribosomal RNA, 253 nt
Filed under: uncultured prokaryote
Description: partial 16S rRNA
Rfam family: Bacterial small subunit ribosomal RNA
Source: RNAcentral